Papaver somniferum (opium poppy) is the source of this 2022-nucleotide long non-coding RNA. RefSeq lists it as uncharacterized. The record is from RefSeq and is a predicted model, not a curated record. The transcript has 9 exons. NCBI's taxonomy places the organism in Eukaryota, Viridiplantae, Streptophyta, Magnoliopsida, Ranunculales, Papaveraceae.
AUCGACACUUUACAAUGUCGAAAAUACCAUCGCUUCACCAUCUUCCUCUCUUUAGACUUAAUACCAGUCGAAUCAUCUCUAGAUUCCAACAAUACCUUCAAAUCAACAUUACUCAUCCAAAUCAAAAUACUACGAAUCAACAGAAUUCAUAAUCUUCGAAGCUAAAUCCCUAAACUUAGAAUACGAAACCCUAGAAUUUGUGGAUGGUAAACCUUUGGUUCUUCUCAAAUGGACUGGUAAGAAUCAAAAUCUUCCUUCAAUCCUUUUGAAUUCACACAUAGAUAAUGUACUAUCUGAACAUCAAAAGUGGAAUCAUUCUCCAUUCGGUGUAAAUGUUGAUGAAUUCGGUGAUAUCUACGCGAGAAUGGUCUGGUUUUUCAACCGAUUCGAACUGUUUAUUUGUCCUUUGUACCUGAUGAAGAGAUUGGUGGUCAUGAUGGUGCGGAGAAGUUCGCCGAAUCGGAGAAAUUCAAGAAGAUGACUGUUGGAAUUGUCCUCUGCAACAUUGGUCAAGAAAGCUUAAGAGGGGAUCCAAAUUACACAGCAAACUCACCUUCUCAAGCACACAUUACCGCACAACAAUUACUUGAGAAAAGGUUAAAACUGAUGGAAUUUGUUAAUGCUUAAAUGGUUUCUUUUUAAUUCUUAGGACCAAGGUCUGUGGAGAGGUUUAUAGCUUAUGCGCUGUGUUCCGCGGAUGAAAGCUCUAAGAGAUGCUAACUGGCUGCCCACUGAACUCAGAGAAGAAAGAAAGGACGGGAGUUUCUAUUGGAGCAGGCACUGGAUGCAUAAGUGACAUUUUGGAUGCAGCAAAAAUGGUCUGUGAGAAGUAAUUGAAUUGAAGUAGCAGGCAUAUCAAAAGGUUGUUGCUUUGAAGAGGCAAGAGGAGCUCAUUCGUGAGAAAGAGGAGACUUGGCAAGAUGAGAAUGAGCAAAAAGUAAAUGGUGGAGCUGCUGACAAGGAAAAACGCUCCAAGGAAAAACAGGAAGUAGACAUUUUCUUGCACAGUGACGUCGACAAAACAAGUUUUCUUAUAAUUAUCUUUGGUCGUGUCUUCCAACUCCGCCACGUUCCAUUUUGGUGUGCUCGCAGAGCAAACAAAAGCAUAACGGUGGAUCACAAGACCAGAUGCUAACGAAAUGCAAUGAAUUUUCAAAGCAAUUGUUUCACACUUGUCUUGCAGCUUAACUUAUACAGGUAAACCGGCUCCAUAAAAUGAGCUGACUGAUGAAUUCAGAAUUCUUGAGGCUGGGAUUUGGAAUGCAGUUUAUCUAAACAAUGGAUAAAGGGCAAAAAACGAUAGCAAGACUUGUCACAUAUGAUGAUGUGAAGCAGAGGUUGUGGGGACUUCAUUUAUCUACUCCAGUAAUAUAAGGUAGCCUCACUACUGUAGAUGGGAAAAAGGUACCGAACAUUUAUAAAUUAAGUUACAAUUGUUACUAGUAUAACAUUGAAUAGGUAUAGUUUGUUGUCCUAAUGCUGCCGCUCAUAUUUUGAUUAGUUAAAUUGAUAACUGAAACACUAACGGAAUCCCAUGACUACUAAUCACUUUUUACUGUUGUUUGGUUUAGUACUAGGUAUGAUUAGAUCGACUGAGAUUUACCAGUUGAACAAGAGAUUAGAGUAUAAUGUGGAGAAAAGUUUGGGUAAUUUGGUUGAGACAUCAAUUACUACAAUGAUAGGAAAAACCAUGUCAGUCUGGUAUCAUGCUUCGGUAUGCAAAUCAUCCUGUGGCUUCCAUAUCUUAGUCCUGGAUGCAGGUUAAAUGCUAAGCCAUUAUAUGGAAAUCCAGUCAUUAUGCAACUAGAGCUUGGCGUAGUUUAGAUUUUUGUCAGUCUGCGCAUACUAGAGUGGCAGUCUGGUUAUAUGAAUGUUGGAUUCUCUAUAUUUUUGUCGAUAGGUAUAGUUGUACACUAAUGUGAAUUACAAAUUUUAAAAAGUGAAAAUUAUAUAGUUAUAUGGGUACUCUUUUUGUAAAUCUUGAAAAAAGCUUUACGAAUAUAUAAAGUUUGUGAAUUUUGG